This 328-nucleotide ribosomal RNA is filed under the name uncultured Glomeromycotina. Its description in RNAcentral is "eukaryotic LSU rRNA". The record is from RNAcentral. Lineage: Eukaryota; Fungi; Glomeromycota.
AAUCACCCUCUCGUCGGGUGGUCCAUGUUGUGGCGAGCCUCAAAACCGCCACGGCGUGUGACCUCACGAUGAGGGGGAGCACUUUCGUGUCCGCUGGUUAACAUCAAUUUCGAACGUCAUAAAAAGGCUGGAGGGAUGUGGCUCCUUCGGGAGUGUUAUAACCUUUAGCGGAAUGUGGUGAUCGGGAUUGAGGAUUGCAACGAAUACCUUUAGGGCUGUUCCACCUGGCUUCUCUUUGGUAUCCUGGUGACGACAGCUUGCUGACGUCAUUAGGAUUCGCCUUUGAACAGGCUAGAGUGUGAGCAAAUUCGUUAAGGAUGUUAACGUA